GACGAACGCUGGCGGCGUGCUUAACACAUGCAAGUCGAACGGAAAGGCUCCAGCUUGCUGGAGUGCUCGAGUGGCGAACGGGUGAGUAACACGUGGGCAAUCUGCCCUGCACUCUGGGAUAAGCCUGGGAAACUGGGUCUAAUACCGGAUAGGACCUUUCUCCUCAUGGGGUUUGGUGGAAAGUUUUUCGGUGCAGGAUGAGCCCGCGGCCUAUCAGCUUGUUGGUGGGGUAAUGGCCUACCAAGGCGAAGACGGGUAGCCGGCCUGAGAGGGUGAUCGGCCACAUUGGGACUGAGAUACGGCCCAGACUCCUACGGGAGGCAGCAGUGGGGAAUAUUGCACAAUGGGCGAAAGCCUUAUGCAGCGACGCCGCGUGAGGGAUGACGGCCUUCGGGUUGUAAACCUCUUUCAGUAGGGACGAAGCGCAAGUGACGGUACCUGCAGAAGAAGCACCGGCUAACUACGUG
This 467-nucleotide ribosomal RNA is filed under the name uncultured bacterium. RNAcentral describes it as "partial 16S ribosomal RNA". It matches the Rfam family "Bacterial small subunit ribosomal RNA", at positions 28 to 507 of the family's 1533-position model. The record is from RNAcentral.